GGUUCAGGACGAACGCUGGCGGCGUGCCUAAUACAUGCAAGUCGAACGGUCUUUCUAUGGAAGCUUGCUUCCACUGAGAAGAUAGUGGCGAACGGGUGAGUAACACGUGGGUAACCUGCCCAUAAGAGGGGGAUAACAUCCGGAAACGGGUGCUAAUACCGCAUAGUUUUCUUGAUCGCAUGAUCGGGAAAGGAAAGACGGCCUUUGUGCUGUCGCUUAUGGAUGGACCCGCGGCGUAUUAGUUAGUUGGUGAGGUAACGGCUCACCAAGACGAUGAUACGUAGCCGACCUGAGAGGGUGAUCGGCCACAUUGGGACUGAGACACGGCCCAAACUCCUACGGGAGGCAGCAGUAGGGAAUCUUCCGCAAUGGACGAAAGUCUGACGGAGCAACGCCGCGUGAGUGAAGAAGGUUUUUCCGGAUCGUAAAACUCUGUUGUCAGAGAAGAACAAGUUGGAGAGUAACUGCUCCAGCCUUGACGGUAUCUGACCAGAAAGCCACGGCUAACUACGUGCCAGCAGCCGC
Molecule: ribosomal RNA, 525 nt
Filed under: uncultured bacterium
Lineage: Bacteria
Description: bacterial SSU rRNA
Rfam family: Bacterial small subunit ribosomal RNA
Source: RNAcentral